This 17-nucleotide ribosomal RNA is filed under the name Gnetum luofuense. Its description in RNAcentral is "partial 5.8S ribosomal RNA". RNAcentral also lists the same sequence under 1 other name. The record is from RNAcentral. Lineage: Eukaryota; Viridiplantae; Streptophyta; Gnetopsida; Gnetales; Gnetaceae.
ACCACGACUCUCGACAA